RNAcentral lists this ribosomal RNA (494 nucleotides) under uncultured bacterium. Its description in RNAcentral is "partial 16S ribosomal RNA". It matches the Rfam family "Bacterial small subunit ribosomal RNA", at positions 28 to 507 of the family's 1533-position model. The record is from RNAcentral.
GACGAACGCUGGCGGCGUGCUUAACACAUGCAAGUCGAACGGAAAGGCCUGCUUUCCCUUGUGGAUUGCGGGUACUCGAGUGGCGAACGGGUGAGUAACACGUGAGUGAUCUGCCCCCAACUUGGGUAUAAGCCUGGGAAACUGGGUCUAAUUCCCGAUAGGACUGCAGGGUGGUGCCUGUGGUGGAAAACGAUUUUCUAGUGGUUGGGGAUGAGCUCGCGGCCUAUCAGCUUGUUGGUGGGGUAAUGACCUACCAAGGCGGCGACGGGUAGCCGGCCUGGGGGGGUGGACGGCCACAUUGGGACUGAGAUACGGCCCAGACUCCUACGGGAGGCAGCAGUGGGGAAUAUUGCGCGAUGGGCGGAAGCCUGAUGCAGCGACGCCGCGUGGGGGAUGACGGCCUUCGGGUGGUAAACUCCUUUCGACAGCGAGGAAGCCACCUGGUUGGAAGGGUGGUGACGGUAGUGGUAGAAGAAGCACCGGCUAACUACGUG